Molecule: ribosomal RNA, 253 nt
Filed under: uncultured bacterium
Lineage: Bacteria
Description: partial 16S ribosomal RNA
Rfam family: Bacterial small subunit ribosomal RNA
Source: RNAcentral
UACGGAGGGUGCAAGCGUUGCUCGGAAUUAUUGGGCGUAAAGGGUAGGUAGGUGGUCUCAUUUGUCUGGGGUGAAAGCCUUGAGCUUAACUCAAGAAGUGCCCCAGAAACGGUGAGACUGGAGUCCUGGAGAGGGUCGUGGAAUUCCCGGUGUAGCGGUGAAAUGCGUAGAUAUCGGAAGGAACAUCAGUGGCGAAAGCGGCUUCCUGGACCAGUACCGACGUUCAGGCACGAAAGCGUGGGGAGCAAACAGG